This 448-nucleotide ribosomal RNA is filed under the name uncultured bacterium. RNAcentral describes it as "bacterial SSU rRNA". It matches the Rfam family "Bacterial small subunit ribosomal RNA", at positions 28 to 466 of the family's 1533-position model. The record is from RNAcentral.
GAUGAACGCUAGCUACAGGCUUAACACAUGCAAGUCGAGGGGAAACGACAGAGGAAGCUUGCUUCCUUUGGGCGUCGACCGGCGCACGGGUGAGUAACGCGUAUCCAACCUUCCCGCAAGUAAGGGAUAACCCGUAGAAAUGCGGCCUAAUACCUUAUGUUUUCCUUAGAGGGCAUCUGAUGAGGAACAAAGAUCCGUCGCUUGCGGAUGGGGAUGCGUCUGAUUAGUUAGUCGGCGGGGUAACGGCCCACCGAGACGACGAUCAGUAGGGGUUCUGAGAGGAAAGUCCCCCACAUUGGAACUGAGACACGGUCCAAACUCCUACGGGAGGCAGCAGUGAGGAAUAUUGGUCAAUGGGCGGAAGCCUGAACCAGCCAAGUAGCGUGCAGGACGACGGCCUAUGGGUNAAACUGCUUUAUGCGGGGAUAAAGGUGGGCCACGCGUGGCC